Molecule: long non-coding RNA, 219 nt
Filed under: Populus trichocarpa (black cottonwood)
Lineage: Eukaryota; Viridiplantae; Streptophyta; Magnoliopsida; Malpighiales; Salicaceae
Description: long non-coding RNA (PTRI_LNC003209)
Source: RNAcentral
UUGACGAUAAAAGAUUAUUAGGAGGUUAGCAAGAUUUCAUAAUCAGGAAGUAUGACCGACCUUUGAGAAUGGGCUCCCCUCUUUCAAUCUUCCUCUAUCUGAUACUUGGCAAGAUAUUCAUUCUGUCACCAAGGCAGCAGAAUUUAGUUCAGCUCCAAUCAAAGAAAGUAUUCGAUACAAAAUGGACAACAAGAAAGAUAUCUCUUUUUGGAAUGACCG